Leptidea sinapis is the source of this 863-nucleotide long non-coding RNA. RefSeq lists it as uncharacterized. The transcript is spliced from 4 exons. NCBI's taxonomy places the organism in Eukaryota, Metazoa, Arthropoda, Insecta, Lepidoptera, Pieridae. The record is from RefSeq and is a predicted model, not a curated record.
GCCAAUAAUUCUGAUUCAGUUACAAGACAUUCUCAUUUUUUGUAAAAUAAAUAAAUGAAAUGAAUUAAUUAUAACAACAAUAAAUAAAAACAGAUUAUUGCAAACAGCUCAGCCAGAUCUAGGUGUUUUCUUAACAAAUUGGUUUAGCCGUUAACAAAAAUAUUAAAAUAGCUUUUCUGGGUUGUAUCUCCGCAAUCUACUUCAUAUCCGUGUCAAUUGUCGUAUGGUUUUUUCAACACAGUGUAUCAAAAAUUGUAACGCUAACUACUAUGUAUCUAUCAAUCUAGCUUGAAUCAUGCACAAAACGCUUGCAAAUGCCAUUUGGUAGCCGGUGAAGAUAAAUAUAUAAAUAAUAACACGUAAUAAACAACAAAUUCCCUUUGAUGUGGCAGAAGGCCCUAGUUUUCCCGACACCAAAAUCUUGCAAUCCGACGACUUUCAAGGAUCUGAGGCCGAUGCGAAGUUUGUGGAUCUUCGUUAUAAUCACCAAAGCCUCCUCGUAUCAUAGAGACUGGGGUCCAGUAAUAGCCCCGUUUACCCCAGGUCUGGUACCAAUCCAAAGCGAGUGCGAAGACCAGCCUGGAAGACCGUGCUUGGAAAUACCAUCAAGGGACAUUUGUAAGAAGAAGUUAUUGCAGCCUCCGAAUCCCUGGUUACCGCUACCGUGGUGGUAUCUUUAUUGUAAGCUCCUGGUUGCACCGAGGCCAACUGUCCCUCAAUCAACAUACACGGUUCAUCAGCAUUAUAAGGAUACCUUGAACGAAUUGAAAAGUUUUUACAGAGAGAUUGGGAAUGGAGCAACCGCCUUCAGGCUAUUUAAGUUUUAUUGUAAUGAAACUUUAUUAAAUAAAGAAGAAGCUCGC